Molecule: ribosomal RNA, 467 nt
Filed under: uncultured Enterobacteriaceae bacterium
Lineage: Bacteria; Pseudomonadati; Pseudomonadota; Gammaproteobacteria; Enterobacterales; Enterobacteriaceae
Description: bacterial SSU rRNA
Rfam family: Bacterial small subunit ribosomal RNA
Source: RNAcentral
UUCCUACGGGAGGCAGCAGUGGGGAAUAUUGCACAAUGGGCGCAAGCCUGAUGCAGCCAUGCCGCGUGUAUGAAGAAGGCCUUCGGGUUGUAAAGUACUUUCAGCGGGGAGGAAGGUGUUGUGGUUAAUAACCACAGCAAUUGACGUUACCCGCAGAAGAAGCACCGGCUAACUCCGUGCCAGCAGCCGCGGUAAUACGGAGGGUGCAAGCGUUAAUCGGAAUUACUGGGCGUAAAGCGCACGCAGGCGGUCUGUUAAGUCAGAUGUGAAAUCCCCGGGCUCAGCCUGGGAACUGCAUUUGAAACUGGCAGGCUUGAGUCUUGUAGAGGGGGGUAGAAUUCCAGGUGUAGCGGUGAAAUGCGUAGAGAUCUGGAGGAAUACCGGUGGCGAAGGCGGCCCCCUGGACAAAGACUGACGCUCAGGUGCGAAAGCGUGGGGAGCAAACAGGAUUAGAUACCCGAGUAGUC